UAUAAUACAGAGAUUUCUCUAGUGAUAAAAAGGGAUCUCUGGAUGGAGCAAAGCAGGGAAGACUAACUGUGUUCAACUGGAGACUUGUUUGCUAAGAAAUACACGUGAAAGCAGUUUUCUUUUGUUUUUCACACCAUUGGCAAAUGCUCU
Molecule: long non-coding RNA, 150 nt
Filed under: Manacus vitellinus (golden-collared manakin)
Lineage: Eukaryota; Metazoa; Chordata; Aves; Passeriformes; Pipridae
Description: lncRNA (ENSMVIG00005010284.1)
Source: RNAcentral